GACGAACGCUGGCGGCGUGCUUAACACAUGCAAGUCGAACGGAAAGGCCCUGCUUUUGUGGGGUGCUCGAGUGGCGAACGGGUGAGUAACACGUGAGUAACCUGCCCUUGACUUUGGGAUAACUUCAGGAAACUGGGGCUAAUACCGGAUAGGAGCUCCUGCUGCAUGGUGGGGGUUGGAAAGUUUCGGCGGUUGGGGAUGGACUCGCGGCUUAUCAGCUUGUUGGUGGGGUAGUGGCUUACCAAGGCUUUGACGGGUAGCCGGCCUGAGAGGGUGACCGGCAACAUUGGGACUGAGAUACGGCCCAGACCCCUAAGGGAGGCAGGAGGGGGAAAUAUUGCACAAGGGGGGGAAGCCUGAUGCAGAAACCCCGCGUGCGGGAUGACGGCCUUGGGGUGGAAAACCGCUUUCGCCUGUGACGAAGGGGGGGGGAGGGUAAGGGGUAAAGAAGCACCGGCUAAAUACGU
RNAcentral lists this ribosomal RNA (467 nucleotides) under uncultured bacterium. RNAcentral describes it as "partial 16S ribosomal RNA". It matches the Rfam family "Bacterial small subunit ribosomal RNA", at positions 28 to 506 of the family's 1533-position model. The record is from RNAcentral.